GACUCACAAAGAUAUAUAUAUGUAUAUAUAUAUAUAUAUAUAUAUAUAUAUAUAUAUAUAUAUAUUCGGUCCU
This is a non-coding RNA of Podarcis lilfordi (Lilford's wall lizard), 73 nucleotides long. The record is from the annotation of a GenBank genome assembly. Lineage: Eukaryota; Metazoa; Chordata; Lepidosauria; Squamata; Lacertidae.